GACUCGGGCAGUGAUAACGCACAGCUGGUUGAUCACAACUGGUCAGAAGUAAGAGAGAAGGCUCCUCCACAUCCGACCUCAGCCAUCUCCCGAGUCCCCGCUUCCUCCGGGCCAACCAGCUGCACCGGACUGUUGCAAACCAAAAGUCAUCAGGAAAUUCCCUGGAUAUGGUAACUCGUGACUGCAAACUCUAAUUAAUCAUCAACGCUGUAAUACGAUCCUGGCUCCACGAUAAGAGGACCUGCCGAAUAUCUUUGAGAAACCUGUCCCCUGGCCUUCUUCAGACUCAGGGACCCACACCUGAGGAGCCCAGGCGGAUGGGGUCCCAGAUCUGCCCUCAGGCUGGAUGAGAGAAGUCACCCUCACUGGGGGGUGAGGCCGGUUCUCUGUGGCAAAGUCAGAAAUUCAGACGGGAAUACUCAGUCGCCGCCCCCUUCCCAACCAGCCUCUACCCCCGCCCACUGCAGAAUUAGAGCCGACCACAAACAGCAUGCCAGCCCAUCUCCUCUCAGCCUGUUUCUAGAUACAGACGGGCUAUACAUGUGUAAACAUGUGAGUGAUACACGUAUAAAUGUAUGUGUCAAGCAAAAGCAGGGUCAUCUGUUGACUGUUCUGAAACCUGUUCUCUUUUGUUAAUGGCAAUAACAACCACCACCAGGUAUCCAGAACUGGUACUGUCAACAGUUCCCUUAAUUUUCACAACAUCCCUAAGGGAGGGAGGGGUUCCCUGGUGGCUUAAGUGCUAAAGAAUCUGCCUGUAAUGCAGGAAACCANNNNNNNNNNNNNNNNNNNNNNNNNNNNNNUCGCAACCCAACUCCAGUGUUCUUGCCUGGAAAAUUCCAUGAACAGAGGCGCCCGGCAGGCUGCAGUCCAUAGCUCUCAGAGAGUCGGACAGGACUCUGACUCAGCAGCAGCAAGGGAGGGAAACUGAGCCUUGGCAAGAGUCAGGAGAGAACUGUGAUCCCAGACAGGCAAAGCGGGUUCCCUACUGGUUCUAAGAAGGUCUCUGGAGCGGGGAUGGGGGGAGAGCAGGGACAGUGGCCCCAGGGACAUGGGUUGGUAGAAAUGCCCCCUUCCCCUGGUGGGGAGGGCUCCAGGCAGCCAGGCAGCCCAGCCGG
This 1118-nucleotide long non-coding RNA is filed under the name Capra hircus (goat). RNAcentral describes it as "lncRNA (ENSCHIG00010007010.1)". The record is from RNAcentral. Lineage: Eukaryota; Metazoa; Chordata; Mammalia; Artiodactyla; Bovidae.